Long non-coding RNA from Schistocerca gregaria, 459 nucleotides. RefSeq lists it as uncharacterized. The transcript is spliced from 2 exons. NCBI's taxonomy places the organism in Eukaryota, Metazoa, Arthropoda, Insecta, Orthoptera, Acrididae. The record is from RefSeq and is a predicted model, not a curated record.
CUGUGCUAGGGAGCCGGGGUGCUGUACUUGAGCAGAUUGCGAAAACGCAGAUAGGAGGAACAGAGUAAUAUUACUUCCCUUUUCGUUAAGAAACAAGAAUGUCGUCGACAGGAAGAAUUACGCAGCUUGUGAGGAACUUCAUGACUUCCACUGCAAGGAGAGGUGGCCAUGCCCAUGAUGAAGGUGGUGUGCCUGGAAGAAAUCUACCGUUCAGCCUGUCAAACCCAUACAAAUUGACCUUAUUGUAUAUAUUAUUCUUCGGUUCUGGCUUUGCAGCACCCUUUUUGGUUGUAAGGUAUCAACUACUGAAGAAGUAGUAACAUUUCAGGGAUGCUAAUUAGUUGCUUACAGUAUGUUUGGUAAUGUGGAACACAGUGUGAACAAUGUGAGCACAGUAUGAACAAUGCUAUUUAAAUAGAUGUAUAUACUUGUCAUAAACAAUAAACGUAUUGUAUUAUG